Molecule: ribosomal RNA, 254 nt
Filed under: uncultured bacterium
Lineage: Bacteria
Description: partial 16S ribosomal RNA
Rfam family: Bacterial small subunit ribosomal RNA
Source: RNAcentral
UACAGAGGUCUCAAGCGUUGUUCGGAUUCAUUGGGCGUAAAGAGCUCGUAGGCGGCUUGGUAAGUCGGAUGUGAAACCUCCAGGCUCAACCUGGAGUCGCCAUCCGAUACUGCUAUGGCUAGAGUCCGGUAGGGGCCCACGGAAUUCCUGGUGUAGCGGUGAAAUGCGCAGAUAUCAGGAGGAACACCGGUGGCGAAGGCGCCACUCUGGGCCGGUACUGACGCUGAGGAGCGAAAGCGUGGGUAGCAAACAGG